Molecule: long non-coding RNA, 1150 nt
Filed under: Citrus x clementina
Lineage: Eukaryota; Viridiplantae; Streptophyta; Magnoliopsida; Sapindales; Rutaceae
Description: Citrus clementina (C. clementina) long non-coding RNA (CCLE_LNC001653)
Source: RNAcentral
CUGGGGCCAUUCCGAGUCCCGCGGACGAACUUCGCCCACGCCCCCCACCAAGGCUAUAGCCCACGCGUUUCUUGGCCUUUUUUCCGCUGGGGGGUCUUGUGACCCCGACCUUCGGGGGCUGAUUUUUGGGCGCGGCUGUGCCCGUGGCCUAUUUUUGGCACACGGAGGCCGCCCGCCAAGUCUGGGGCCAUUCCGAGUCCCGCGGACGAACUUCGCCCACGCCCCCCACCAAGGCUAUAGUCUACGCGUUUCUUGGCCUUUUUUCUGGUGGGGGGUCUCGUGACCCCGACCUUCGGGGGCUGAUUUUUGGGCGCGGCUGUGCCCGUGGCCUAUUUUUCGCACACGGAGGCCACCCGCCAAGUCUGGGGCCAUUCCGAGUCCCGCGGACGAACUUCGCCCACGCCCCCCACCAAGGCUAUAGCCCACGCGUUUCUUGGCCUUUUUUCCGCUGGGGGGUCUUGGGACCCCGACCUUCGGGGGCUGAUUUUUGGGCGCGGCUGUGCCCGUGGCCUAUUUUUGGCACACGGAGGCCGCCCGCCAAGUCUGGGGCCAUUCCGAGUCCCGCGGACGAACUUCGCCCACGCCCCCCACCAAGGCUAUAGCCCACGCGUUUCUUGGCCAUUUUUCCGCUGGGGGGUCUUGGGACCCCGACCUUCGGGGGCUGAUUUUUGGGCGCGGCUGUGCCCGUGGCCUAUUUUUGGCACACGGAGGCCGCCCGCCAAGUCUGGGGCCAUUCCGAGUCCCGCGGACGAACUUCGCCCACGCCCCCCACCAAGGCUAUAGCCCACGCGUUUCUUGGCCAUUUUUCCGCUGGGGGGUCUUGGGACCCCGACCUUCGGGGGCUGAUUUUUGGGUGCGGCUGUGCCCGUGGCCUAUUUUUGGCACACGGAGGCCGCCCGCCAAGUCUGGGGCCAUUCCGAGUCCCGCGGACGAACUUCGCCCACGUCCCCCACCAAGGCUAUAGCCCACGCGUUUCUUGGCCAUUUUUCCGCUGGGGGGUCUUGGGACCACGACCUUCGGGGGCUGAUUUUUGGGCGCGGCUGUGCCCGGGGCCUAUUUUUGGCACACGGAGGCCGCCCGCCAAGUCUGGGGCCAUUCCGAGUCCCGCGGACGAACUUCGCCCACGCCCCCCACCAAGGCUAUAGCCCAC